This 497-nucleotide ribosomal RNA is filed under the name uncultured bacterium. RNAcentral's name for it is "partial 16S ribosomal RNA". It matches the Rfam family "Bacterial small subunit ribosomal RNA", at positions 28 to 507 of the family's 1533-position model. The record is from RNAcentral.
GAUGAACGCUGGCGGCGUGCCUAAUACAUGCAAGUCGAGCGAACAGACGAGGAGCUUGCUCCUCUGACGUUAGCGGCGGACGGGUGAGUAACACGUGGAUAACCUACCUAUAAGACUGGGAUAACUUCGGGAAACCGGAGCUAAUACCGGAUAAUAUAUUGAACCGCAUGGUUCAAUAGUGAAAGACGGUUUUGCUGUCACUUAUAGAUGGAUCCGCGCCGCAUUAGCUAGUUGGUAAGGUAACGGCUUACCAAGGCAACGAUGCGUAGCCGACGUGAGAGGGUGAUCGGCCGCACUGGAACUGAGACACGGUCCAGACUCCUACGGGAGGCAGCAGUAGGGAAUCUUCCGCAAUGGGCGAAAGCCUGACGGAGCAACGCCGCGUGAGUGAUGAAGGUCUUCGGAUCGUAAAACUCUGUUAUUAGGGAAGAACAAAUGUGUAAGUAACUAUGCACGUCUUGACGGUACCUAAUCAGAAAGCCACGGCUAACUACGUG